Molecule: ribosomal RNA, 252 nt
Filed under: uncultured bacterium
Lineage: Bacteria
Description: partial 16S ribosomal RNA
Rfam family: Bacterial small subunit ribosomal RNA
Source: RNAcentral
UACGGAGGAUGCGAGCGUUAUGCGGAUUUAUUGGGUUUAAAGGGUGCGUAGGCGGGAUGCCAAGUCAGCGGUAAAAAUGCGGUGCUCAACGCCGUCGAGCCGUUGAAACUGGCGUUCUUGAGUGGGCGAGAAGUAUGCGGAAUGCGUGGUGUAGCGGUGAAAUGCAUAGAUAUCACGCAGAACUCCGAUUGCGAAGGCAGCAUACCGGCGCCCUACUGACGCUGAGGCACGAAAGCGUGGGUAUCGAACAGG